UCCCUGGUGGCUCAAAUAGUAAAGCAUCUGCCUGCAGUGCAGGACACUCAGGUUCGAUCCCUGGGUUGGGAA
Molecule: transfer RNA, 72 nt
Filed under: Ovis aries (sheep)
Lineage: Eukaryota; Metazoa; Chordata; Mammalia; Artiodactyla; Bovidae
Rfam family: tRNA
About the family: Transfer RNA (tRNA) molecules are approximately 80 nucleotides in length.
Source: Rfam by way of RNAcentral